Molecule: long non-coding RNA, 1533 nt
Organism: Astatotilapia calliptera (eastern happy)
Lineage: Eukaryota; Metazoa; Chordata; Actinopteri; Cichliformes; Cichlidae
Source: Ensembl
GUCUUAGCUCAGUAAUAUAUCGAUUUUGAACAGACAUUUCUGUGUUAACUUAACAUGAAAGUGUAUUCAGUUAAUACAACUUAAAAAUCUCGUAAGCGUCCUUUAAAAGCUGAGUACAAGGCUGACUUGCCCGGACAUGUUGUGCUCUCAGACCACUGAUCGAAAGAAACGGAGGCAAAGAGAGAAAGCAGAGAAGCGGCAUUUUGUACGGAACAUUAUCAAACGUUAAAGCUUUGUGGCAGGAAGUUGUCAAUCAAGCACCAAAAAUCAAUGACCUGAAAGAAAGAUGGCCUGCUCUUUUUGAUGCAGUUCAGAUAAACCAAGAAUUCAGAAGGAUCACCACUGUUAACCUGGAGACAACAUUCAUGGCAAAGCUGGACCAGUACUCUCAGAAAAUAAUGUCCUUGCUGUCCUCAAGAGGAGGGGCUGCAAAAAUGCGCAUUCGGCGCAUCCAGAACAUGCUGCUAGAGGACGAUUCUGUGGAGAGAAGGCGAGAGGUCGCUAUCUGUGGCUUAGUGGUGUAUCUCAGGGAAAAGGAGGAGGAUCUCUUCAAAGAGCAGGAUGGUGGCGGCGAUAUUACCAAUGAAGUGAUGAAGAUUGUAACCAGAGGUGCCACAACGUCUGAUCCAGCCAGCGCAAGGAUCAUACUUGAAGGAACAGAAGUCCUAGCAGACCUGGAUGUACCCAGAGCCUGUGCCUUGCUAAUGGGGCUGAUAUAUGCACUCAACCUCAGCUACCCAAAAGAACUGAAAAACACUUUUGAAAAACACUUUUGAAGUGUUUCAAAAGAUAUUCCUCGAGCUGGAUGAUCUGAAAGCCAGUCCUAAGGUAAUGUCACUAAAAAGUAAACUGUUGUACUAAAAAAUGUGAAGAGUGAGGCUAUCCUCAAAUUAAACGGGAAAUGUUCCACUGUUGUUUGCAAUGUGUUGUGUUACAUACUUUACAGUAGGCAGUAGGUGUAAAGUUGAGCGUUGAGCAUUAAGUACACCUAGUUAAAAAUAAUGCACUUUAAAAGGAUAGCUCGGGUCUUUUGAAGUGAGGCUGUAUAUGAGGUACAUAUGUAUUGUGAGUGUAUUACACACAGUAGAUGGCAGUCAGUAAGCUCCACCUACGGAGAAGCAGACGGGGCCACCGGCACGCAAGAUGAGCCUCCAUCAUAAUAAAACUAAUGUCAGUUUAAAUGUACAUUAUAUCAAGAAUAUGUUUACUGCUUUAUUUUGCUAUCAGACAGCCUUUUCUGUGAGGAAAGAGAAGUUCUACUGCUUGUUGUUUCAAUCGCUCUGGCCCACCAGCGUCCAUGGACAAAAACAGCAAUUUUACCUGACAGCACACAGGAGUUGCUGGUCUCCUGCUGCCUUGAUCAGUAAGUGUAAUUGUGUUAUUUGGUGACUUUGGUGUUAGUUCGGGUUAGUUCAGAUUUACCAAAGUCACACAAACAAACUGAGCCUAUCGUGCGUGUUGGUGGCAGGAAUGUGCUGACUGCUGUCUACUGUGUGUAAUACACUCACAAUGUACUUCAUACUUAAAAAAACC